This 106-nucleotide non-coding RNA is filed under the name Thraustochytrium sp. LLF1b. Lineage: Eukaryota; Bigyra; Thraustochytrida; Thraustochytriidae. The record is from RNAcentral.
GAAAAAAACAAAACAAAACAAAACAAAACAAGAAGAACCUCAUAUUUGUAGGCGCCCUACUACUGAGUUGGGUGUAUUGUAUUUCCAAUUUUCUCCUCUUGCUUUU